CCCCACCCGUGAUGGUGGAUUGACUCCCAAGGCGGCGGCGGAGUGUUCCACGGCGGCGGCACGCGGAGCCAACCUCGCAAUGUGCUUGGGCAGUUUGCCUCUGCGCUCGAGGUCAUCUCGAUCCAUAGUGACAACAGCGAUGACCUCUCAUCGGAGGUUCCCGCUACCCCACCUAGGCGCGUCAAAGUGGAGUCAUUGAGCCGAACCCCGGACAAUAAGGGCAAGAUGCAAGUAAGAAGAGCAUUUCCGCUUUUCACCUAGGGUAUACAUGAACUCUUUAGGGUUUACACGAGUAUAUUUGUUUCUUUUUAGAUUUCUAAUUUUUAUGCCUUAAUUACCAAACAACAAGUUGAACUAUCUCAGAUUAAAAUACAGUGUACCUAUGUUUACUAAUGUGCAGUCCAGUAGCUUAGAAUAUUCAUAAAUGGAAAAUUAAUAUAGAUGUGAUGCCAGGGUAGCUGUCCUAUUGUUCAAUUGCAACCUUGUAAUUUUUAUUUUAAAUGAAAAUUUGGUGUUGCACUUAACUUAUUGAGUUUUGAAUAAUGACUUGUCAAAUUAGCAUUAUUUCCUAAUGAUCUGUAACUACCAACUUGCAUGCAAACCCAAUCGUGGUAUAGAAGAUCAAAGGGCAGUCAUCCACCCCAUCCCCGGC
RNAcentral lists this long non-coding RNA (652 nucleotides) under Sorghum bicolor (sorghum). Its description in RNAcentral is "long non-coding RNA (SBIC_LNC017684)". The record is from RNAcentral. Lineage: Eukaryota; Viridiplantae; Streptophyta; Magnoliopsida; Poales; Poaceae.